CGGGGCAACCUGGCGGCGAGUGGCGAACGGGUGAGUAAUAUAUCGGAACGUACCCUGGAGUGGGGGAUAACGUAGCGAAAGUUACGCUAAUACCGCAUACGAUCUAAGGAUGAAAGUGGGGGAUCGCAAGACCUCAUGCUCCUGGAGCGGCCGAUAUCUGAUUAGCUAGUUGGUGAGGUAAAGGCUCACCAAGGCGACGAUCAGUAGCUGGUCUGAGAGGACGAUCAGCCACACUGGAACUGAGACACGGUCCAGACUCCUACGGGAGGCAGCAGUGGGGAAUUUUGGACAAUGGGCGCAAGCCUGAUCCAGCAAUGCCGCGUGAGUGAAGAAGGCCUUCGGGUUGUAAAGCUCUUUUGUCAGGGAAGAAACGGUAGAGGCUAAUAUCCUUUGCUAAUGACGGUACCUGAAGAAUAAGCACCGGCUAACUAC
This 432-nucleotide ribosomal RNA is filed under the name bacterium M3-126-16S. Its description in RNAcentral is "bacterial SSU rRNA". It matches the Rfam family "Bacterial small subunit ribosomal RNA", at positions 75 to 504 of the family's 1533-position model. The record is from RNAcentral.